CUGGUUGAAGGUGUCCAGGUUCUUGGCACCUUGAACAAAGAAUUGGACACAACGCACAAAUGGAGCAAGGAAAAAAUGAAGCAACAGAAGCAGAUAUUUAUGGAAAAUGAAAGCACACUCCACAGGGUGGGAGGGCCCGAGCAUGGAGAGACCGUUACUGAAGUUUCUGGGGUUUAAAUACCCUCUAGAGGUUUCCAUUGGUUACUUGGUGUACACUCUAUGUAAAUAAAGAGGAUGAAGUAAAAUUACAAAAUCAUGUACUCGGUGUACGCCCUGUGUAAAUGGAGAGGAUAUUUCCUGUCAUAGCCCAAGAGUUUCCAUUUGAUUUAGUUCUCCGAAGUCAGGGUGAAUCGGCCUUAUGUUCCUGCCUCCAGACCCUUUUCUCCUGCCUCCGUGGAAUGGAUGGCAGGACAUGGAAAAGUGUUUUGUCCAAAUGACAUGUCCAAGGGCACUGGCAGCUGAAGGCAAGAGGGAACCAGUUAGUGCCACGGAGGAAUGCCCACCCCCGUCUCCACACCGCACAGAACAAAGUGAGUGUCCUUGUCCUGAACCCUCUGAGAAGCAGCUCUGGAAUUUCAUUUAUUGGCAUUAAAAGCAGAAAAUGGUCCUAUAGAGCUCAAUUUAAUGGCAAAGAUUAAGGAAAGAAUAAAGACUCUGCCUAAUAAUGGUGACAUGAGCUGUUCAUAUUGUCAUUUUCUCUGGGACCUAAUAUGGGGGAGGAGGCGGGACCCCGUGUCGCCAGGCCCCAGGUGAUUUUCACACUGUUUCCCCAAAUCACUGCAGCCUCUUCCCUGCUGGUCCCUUGAUGCUGCUGCUGUGCCUGGCGUCCUGUGGGACAAGAGUGCAACAGGGCGCUGGGCACCUUGGCAGCUUCCAGUGGGAUAGGCCUGCGGCAUUCUGAGCCUGAAUGCGGUGAUCACCAGGAAGUAAGGAGACACAAGCAGGAGGGGUUCCAGGAUGGAGGGGCCACUUCUCAGGGAUCAGUCUCAGGCCCCAGUUGGGAAGGAUCCCCUUUCAGGACAAUGGCUCCAGGCCAAGGGCAACGCUGUUUCUGUGCGUCCUGAUGACUGACCUGCGUCCACAGGGAAGCGUAUCUGGGCUCCUUUUUUCCAGGCUGUGUUGGGAGCACCUUGAAAUGGGCACUGGUGGAUUUCAAUUCCAGCCUUCCGGAAGCCAUUCCAAAUGGAAACUGAGCUAAGGGAUGUAGGUGGA
Molecule: long non-coding RNA, 1212 nt
Filed under: Homo sapiens (human)
Lineage: Eukaryota; Metazoa; Chordata; Mammalia; Primates; Hominidae
Description: HSALNT0157581
Source: RNAcentral